GCCCCCGUAGUUCAAUGGAUAGAACUAUGGUUUCCGGUACCAUCAAUCCGAGUUCGACUCUCGGCGGGGGCG
RNAcentral lists this transfer RNA (72 nucleotides) under Opitutales bacterium. RNAcentral's name for it is "tRNA-Arg". It matches the Rfam family "tRNA". From Rfam's summary of the family: Transfer RNA (tRNA) molecules are approximately 80 nucleotides in length. The record is from RNAcentral. Lineage: Bacteria; Pseudomonadati; Verrucomicrobiota; Opitutia; Opitutales.